Molecule: signal recognition particle RNA, 262 nt
Filed under: Lachnospiraceae bacterium
Lineage: Bacteria; Bacillati; Bacillota; Clostridia; Lachnospirales; Lachnospiraceae
Description: signal recognition particle sRNA large type
Rfam family: Bacterial large signal recognition particle RNA
About the family: The signal recognition particle (SRP) is a universally conserved ribonucleoprotein involved in the co-translational targeting of proteins to membranes. Archaeal SRP consists of a 7S RNA and homologues of the eukaryotic SRP19 and SRP54 proteins. In most bacteria, the SRP consists of a 4.5S RNA and the Ffh protein (a homologue of the eukaryotic SRP54 protein).
Source: RNAcentral
CCGUGCAGCUGGGGAGGUGGCGGUGCCCUGUACCUACAAUCCGCCAUAGUAGGAGUGAUAUCCCGCCCCGGGCCGGUUGGUCGGAAGCUGCCCUGCAUAAGUGGCGUUGAUGUCUGGGUCUUGCGCAACAGGAACCUGUGAACCGUGUCAGGUUGGGAACAAAGCAGCACUAAGCGGGACCUUCUGUGUGCCGCAAGGGUGCCUGGGCUGAGUUAACUGUGCAGGUAACGUUCCGGUCUAAGGUUCAAAGCGGGAUGCACGG